RNAcentral lists this ribosomal RNA (355 nucleotides) under uncultured bacterium. Its description in RNAcentral is "bacterial SSU rRNA". It matches the Rfam family "Bacterial small subunit ribosomal RNA", at positions 152 to 507 of the family's 1533-position model. The record is from RNAcentral.
UUAAAACGUUAAAACCCGCUAGUUGGUUUUUAAAGUUUAAAAAGAUGGUCUUGCUAUCACUAAGAGAUGGUCCCGCGGUGUAUUAGUUAGUUGGUGAGGUAAUGGCUCAUCAAGACAAUGAUACAUAGCCGAGUUGAGAGACUGACCGGCCACAAUGGGACUGAGACACGGCCCAUACUCCUACGGGAGGCAGCAGUAGGGAAUCUUCCACAAUGGACAAAGUCUGAUGGAGCAACGCCGCGUGUGUGAUGAAGGGUUUCGGCUCGUAAAACACUGUUGUAAGAGAAGAAUGACAUUGAGAGUAACUGUUCAAUGUGUGACGGUAUCUUACCAGAAAGGAACGGCUAAAUACGUG